This 246-nucleotide ribosomal RNA is filed under the name uncultured bacterium. RNAcentral describes it as "partial 16S ribosomal RNA". It matches the Rfam family "Bacterial small subunit ribosomal RNA", at positions 531 to 776 of the family's 1533-position model. The record is from RNAcentral.
CGUGCAAACGUUGUUCGGAAUCACUGGGCUUAAAGGGCGCGUAGGCGGCAGACCAAGUCCGGGGUGAAAUCUUUCGGCUUAACCGGAAAAGGGCCUUGGAUACUGGUUUGCUAGAGGGAGGUAGGGGUCUGUGGAACUUCUGGUGGAGCGGUGAAAUGCGUUGAUAUCAGAAGGAACGCCGGUGGCGAAAGCGACGGACUGGAUCUCUUCUGACGCUGAGGCGCGAAAGCCAGGGGAGCAAACGGG